CUGUAGCCAAUUGAGCAAACCCAGUUCCUUUCCUGGUGGGGACAUGAAGUGCAAAGAUUGCAAACAGCCACCUCCUUGGGAGUGUGGGCAGCCUGCUACUUACGUGGUUUCCCUGAGGGACUUUCAAGGCAAUU
Mesocricetus auratus (golden hamster) is the source of this 134-nucleotide small nucleolar RNA. Its record names the gene SNORA70. It matches the Rfam family "Small nucleolar RNA SNORA70". From Rfam's summary of the family: snoRNA U70 seems to be exclusive to mammals and is a member of the H/ACA class of snoRNA which contain H (ANANNA) and ACA box motifs. H/ACA box snoRNAs are involved in the conversion of uridines to pseudouridines (5-ribosyluracil) a constituent of structural RNAs (transfer, ribosomal, small nuclear, and small nucleolar). The record is from Ensembl. NCBI's taxonomy places the organism in Eukaryota, Metazoa, Chordata, Mammalia, Rodentia, Cricetidae.